Molecule: ribosomal RNA, 408 nt
Filed under: uncultured bacterium
Lineage: Bacteria
Description: partial 16S ribosomal RNA
Rfam family: Bacterial small subunit ribosomal RNA
Source: RNAcentral
GACGAACGCUGGCGGCGUGCUUAACACAUGCAAGUCGAACGAAGUGGCGAACGGGUGAGUAACGCGUAAUCAACCUGCCCUUCAGAGGGGGACACCAGUUGGAAACGACUGCUAAUACCGCAUACUGAUGGAGGGGAUUGCGUCUGAUUAGCUCGUUGGGGGGGUAACGGCCCACCAAGGCGAAUGUCAGUAGCCGGUCUGGAGGGAUGAACGGCCACCAUGGGACUGGGGCACGGCCCAGACGCCUACGGGGGGGAGCAGUGGGGAAUCUUCCGCAAUGGAGGAAAGUCUGACGGAGCAACGCCGGGUGAGGGGUGGCGGCCUUCUGGGUGUAAAGGUCUGUUAAGCGGGACGCGGUACCGGAAGAGAAAGCCACGGCUAACUACGUGCCAGCAGCCGCGGUAAUAC